GUGGCUUAUUUUGGUUGGUUGAUGAGUAAAUAUAUAAAAAAUAGUUUUUUUCCUUUUUCUUUCUUUUUGCUUUCUUUUUGGCCGAUGAAUCUCUCUCUUCUCUCUCUACGAGAAACGGCGAAAAUGUGUGAGAUUCACUCCAAUCGAGAGCGGGAGUAGGUUUGAAAAUUCGAGUAAUCCAGUAGUUGCAUGACAUCGGGUCCUUUAACGAAG
RNAcentral lists this long non-coding RNA (213 nucleotides) under Capsella rubella. RNAcentral's name for it is "long non-coding RNA (CRUB_LNC003106)". The record is from RNAcentral. Lineage: Eukaryota; Viridiplantae; Streptophyta; Magnoliopsida; Brassicales; Brassicaceae.